UCCGGCUUGACGCCGGCAGUCCCCCGAGAGUCCUCAGCAUGACCUGUUAGUAACACGGGGCAAGGGUUGCGCUCGUUGCGGGACUUAACCCAACAUCUCACGACACGAGCUGACGACAGCCAUGCACCACCUGUACACCUGCCCCGAAGGGCUGCCGUAUUUCUACGACAUUCAGGUGCAUGUCAAGCCCAGGUAAGGUUCUUCGCGUUGCGUCGAAUUAAGCCACAUACUCCACCGCUUGUGCAGGCCCCCGUCAAUUUCUUUGAGUUUUAAUCUUGCGACCGUACUCCCCAGGCGGAUGACUUCACGCGUUAGCUGCGUUACUAAGGGAUUUAACUCCCCCAACAACUAGUCAUCAUCGUUUAGGGCGUGGACUAC
RNAcentral lists this unclassified non-coding RNA (378 nucleotides) under uncultured bacterium. RNAcentral's name for it is "contains 16S-23S intergenic spacer region". The record is from RNAcentral.